UAAUACGGGGGGGUCAAGCGUUAUUCGGAUUUACUGGGCGUAAAGGGCGCGUAGGCGGAAUCGUGGGUCGAUCGUGAAAUCCACCGGCUCAACCGGUGAACUGCGGUCGAAACUGCGGAUCUUGAGUUUGGUAGAGGAAGACGGAAUUCCUGGUGUAGCGGUGGAAUGCGUAGAUAUCAGGAAGAACACCAGUAGCGAAGGCGGUCUUCUGGGCCACAACUGACGCUGAGGCGCGAAAGCUAGGGGAGCGAACAGGAUUAGAUACCCUGGUAGUCCUAGCCGUAAACGAUGGGUACUAGGUGUAGGAGGUACUGACCCCUUCUGUGCCGCAGUUAACGCAUUAAGUACCCCGCCUGGGGAGUACGGUCGCAAGGCUG
This 377-nucleotide ribosomal RNA is filed under the name uncultured Candidatus Latescibacter sp. RNAcentral's name for it is "bacterial SSU rRNA". It matches the Rfam family "Bacterial small subunit ribosomal RNA", at positions 521 to 896 of the family's 1533-position model. Lineage: Bacteria; Pseudomonadati; Candidatus Latescibacterota; Candidatus Latescibacteria (ex Chuvochina et al. 2023); Candidatus Latescibacterales; Candidatus Latescibacteraceae. The record is from RNAcentral.